Non-coding RNA from Struthio camelus australis, 1478 nucleotides. The record is from RefSeq and is a predicted model, not a curated record. NCBI's taxonomy places the organism in Eukaryota, Metazoa, Chordata, Aves, Struthioniformes, Struthionidae.
AACUGUUGUUGCCGUGGAAAAUCAGGUCGAGUGAGACCCUCCUCCCCCGAGCAAAAAACAACAACAGAAAAGCCUUCCAAAAGAUCAAAACGAAAACACACAAAAAAAGGCCUGCAGAUUUGCACAGUGAGUAAAGGACAGUCGUAGAGUGCGUUCUUUUUGUGGUGCAAGAGCACAACACGUUUCUUCUUUUCCGAUGUAAAUAACAGCAAACCACAGUUAUAGCCAAAAAUCCCAAACCGAAGUUGCUGCUGAAGGGUUCCUCACUGUGCUGCACGUGUUUCUUCUGCAGGAGGGAGGAUGGAAGCGUCGGUCUAAGACAAACUGCAGUCGUCUUGCACGCCGUACUGAAAUGUUGGGCUUAAGGUAACAGGCAGUUAGUGUCAGAACAUAGUGCAGACUCACGUGAGUCACACAGGGACCGUGAGAUAUGUCGUGCUUAUUUCUUAAAUUUAGCGAUUGAUAGUUAGAUAUUUGGAACACUAAUAGCUUGUACUUGCUUUCAUAUACUUGUAUUUAUUGUUUAGGUCGGGGAAUAGGGAUUAUCAGUGGCAGAACUGAGGCUAACAUCAGCUUUUUAAAGUAGUUUUUCAGUUUGUGAGCUAAGAUAACGCAGCUUAUGGUGGUUUUUGGUACUAAUGAGUUUGGCUGUAAAAUCUUAUAUUUAGAUGAGCUAGAGAAAAGCUGGUUUACACUAGAAGAUGCUGGCUAGUUUGUAUUUGAAUGGAAAAGUAUAAAGUCGCGAUUAUUAGAAGGAAAAAGGUUGCGGUUUGACCUCUGCUUUUUUACCUGGCACAAAUUGACAUUCCUACUAAAUGAACCCUUUUUUUUAGCGCAGCUGUCUCUGGAGUUUUGUGACCGUGAUCUGGGAGCUGAUCUAACUGCAAACUAACCAUCAAAAAACAUUUUUCCUGUCUUUUUGGUUUUUUUUUAUGAAAGAUAAAAUGGUAAUAAUACUGGGAUCACACCAAAAAUGUUUUUGCCUAGCAUGUGGUCUCCAGAGGUAGCUACAAAGCAGAUCCUGUAGAAGUAAGAAAAACAACAAGCAUAUAUGGUGCUUCCGUGAAAUAUUUCUUACAGCUUCUUUCUAUUUCAGCUCAGGAGCCUUGAUGAGACAGAUGUGAUUUUGUGUCGUAUUUUGUAAUUCUCAGCAAUCUCUCUUCUGUGUACUUGUCCAGGAUUGUGUUGAAGGUUCAGUUUCUGUCACAAAACAGAGAACAGGAGCCAUUGGAGAUCGCCCAUCAAGACCUACUCUUUUAGAACAAGUAUUAAAUCAAAAGAGGCUGUCCCUUCUAAGAAGUCCAGAAGUGGUCCAGUUUCUACAGAAACAACAGCGACUGCUCAGUCAGCAGGCUUUGGAGCAAAGGCAGCAACAAUUUCAAGGAGCAUCUGUGUAAUCAGAACAGAUUCACAGAAUCACAGAAUGGUUGAGGUUGGAAGGGACCUCUGGAGAUCAUCUAGUCCAACCUCCCUGCCCA